UCUCUCUCUCUCUCUCUCUCUCUCUCUCUCUCUCACACACACACACACAGAGAGAGAGAGAGAGAGAGAGAGAGAGA
Podarcis lilfordi (Lilford's wall lizard) is the source of this 77-nucleotide non-coding RNA. The record is from the annotation of a GenBank genome assembly. NCBI's taxonomy places the organism in Eukaryota, Metazoa, Chordata, Lepidosauria, Squamata, Lacertidae.